GCAAGAAAAAAAGAGGAAAAAAAGCGAAGAAGACAAAAGGAAAGACUGCAAAGAGAGUGGUUGGAUUCAAUAAAAGAGCUGAGCGCCCAAAAAAUAUGGUGGACACAAGAAAGACAUGUUGCUGGAUUCUUAAGCUACCGCAAGAAUUGCUGCAGAGCAUUCUUUUGGAGGUAGUUCUUGACGCUGGAGACAUGGCAUAUUUGACGCUUUCUCUGGUUUGUUGGAAAGUAAGAAAUACCGUCAGCCAGGACGCUUUCCGGAAAAAGGCACACUUUUUGUGGAUAUUGAGUGUGGACACAAAUUGGUUUCACCAUUCCGAGUCCUAUCGCGAGG
Long non-coding RNA from Gymnodraco acuticeps, 333 nucleotides. RefSeq lists it as uncharacterized. The record is from RefSeq and is a predicted model, not a curated record. The transcript has 4 exons. Lineage: Eukaryota; Metazoa; Chordata; Actinopteri; Perciformes; Bathydraconidae.